ACGUAGGGUGCAAGCGUUAAUCGGAAUUACUGGGCGUAAAGCGUGCGCAGGCGGUUAUGUAAGACAGGCGUGAAAUCCCCGGGCUCAACCUGGGAAUUGCGCUUGUGACUGCAUAACUAGAGUACGGCAGAGGGGGAUGGAAUUCCGCGUGUAGCAGUGAAAUGCGUAGAUAUGCGGAGGAACACCGAUGGCGAAGGCAGUCCCCUGGGCCUGUACUGACGCUCAUGCACGAAAGCGUGGGGAGCAAACAGG
Molecule: ribosomal RNA, 252 nt
Filed under: uncultured bacterium
Lineage: Bacteria
Description: partial 16S ribosomal RNA
Rfam family: Bacterial small subunit ribosomal RNA
Source: RNAcentral